UUUAACCCUGCUACUGCACUUUACACUAUCAAAAAACAGUUUAUGAGACGGUGGAGUGUAGGUACCAAAGUCGGAGGGUUUGGCGUAGAUCAUUAUAGGAGUACAGGCGUAGCUCAGUAGUUGGAGGUUGGGAAGUCGUCGACUACACAACGAAAGUCGAGGGUAGGUUUGUCUCUGUAAACGACGCUGUCUCCGAGUUUGUUUACGUCUUUACUUGUGCUUGUAUCUUUUUCUUUUAAGACGUCGUUACGGUCGGGGUUGGACGGAUAGAGGAGGGAGGGAGGGGGAGGUGGUGUGGCGGUAGCGGUGGCGGUAGCGGUCGUGCUCGGAGGAGAGGCCACCGGCGGCGGUGGCAGCGUCGGCGGGUGCCGUGUACAGUCCAGAGCACGAUGAAUUUCGGUUCCGGCCGCUACAGCUGCCGGUACAGCUGCCUCCCCUGCUCGCGGAGGACCGAUGCGCCGCUGUGCGCAUUCUUCGGCUGGCGGAAAGACGAGGCGCGCGACGAGAAGUAGACGCACCGUAAGGCGCAUCGGCGCCGCGAGUAGGCGCAAAACAUGGUGCAGCGGCGGCCGUCGCAGGAGCCGCACCGGUCCCAGGAGAAGCGCCGCCGCUUGCUCGCCACGGACGCCCCGUACCUGGCCCGCCGCGAGCCCACGCCCCCGAAGGAGCGCCUACGGUACCGGUUGAGCACCUCCCACGAGUACGUCCCCGAGCGCAGCGAGUACAAGGAGACGCGCGCGCGGCUACUCAUGCAGGCCGUCGGCGGCUCGGGCGAGCACGAGUGCCGGGUGCUGUUCGGCCGCCGAGUAGGAGUCGUCCACGUGUAAAGUUGACACCCUUCCCUGUUCUACUCCUAAAGUACCCAGUGACUGCUGGCCUCGUGCGGCAGCCACCACCUCAUGCCGCUUAGGGCCCCAUUGAUGUGGCGCAGCCGCUGCCCGCUGGUGCGCUGCAUGUUUAUGAAGAAGAUGCUCAGGCCGCGCUAGGUGGUGCACUGCUAGCCGGGCGACCGCGGGCCGUGCUGGAUGGUGAUGGCCACGCCGUUCCGGCCGCUGCUCGAGUGGGAGGCCUGGGGAGGCCGCAGCGAGGGCGAGCUCGAGCAGCAGUAGCCGCUGGACCCGGUCUGGGCCACCUGCCGCAGCUGCGACCGCGUGUAGCCGCUGCGCCUGAUGCUGUACGACGACGAGGGCCCGCUGGACAGCAUGCGCCUGUGCGUCGUCGGCGACACCCUGAGCAAGCCCGCCGACCACGUCGGCGACCGCUCGCGCGCCGGCACCUACCACUGCCUCCCGUUGGUGCUCCGCCUCCGCGAGGGGCAGCAGCCGAAGCGCGGGAAGCAGCGGAUGUUGCGCGCCACCGCGUACGGCGUGCUCCUCUCGCCGAGGCGGAGGUUGGAGAUGAUGAGGAAGCUGCGCCGGCCGCCGCGCCGCGUGCAGCACUACGACCCGAGGAUGCGGCUCAAGCUCCUCCCCAGCCGCGUCGCGCGCACCGACCUCGCCCUGGAGCGGCCGCACCUGGCCGCCUCCUGCGGCACCGACGACCACGACGACGUGCGCGGCACCAUGUUGUGGUUGGUCCGGGUGGUCCCCCUCCCGCUCCGCUACGCGCGGCGGUACCUCUCGGAGGAGAUGCUCCGGGCGCAGCUGCAGCAGAAGAGGCCGGUGCAGGUGCGGAUGCUCGCUAAGUGCUCCCAGAUACUGUUGCUCCGGCUGCCGGCCCCGGGCUACAUGUAUUGGUAGCCGCUGCCGCCGUUGUCUCUUCCCGAACGAGAGUUCAAGGACCUCCUAGUGUUCAGCCGCGUGGACAGCCACAAGGUCCUCCGCUCGAAACCCGUGCCGGCCGACUCCGAGCAGCUGCUCUGCUCGCGGCAGACCUGCACCGUGGCGUUGCUGCUGCUUAUGCGGUGGCAGGCGCUGCUCCAGACCAACCUCUCGAACCGAUCAGGUUUCGAUAGGUACCGUCGGCAGCCAGCAGUCCUGCUCCUCAACAUCUUACAACGUCUAGUCAUUUGUGGGGUGACAACCCCGGCGACCCUUUAGUUUGAGAAAUUAACCCAGUAUUCUGUUGUGAAAGUGAUCAUGUCUUACUACGAGUGUCAAGCAAGCUUUGUGCGCACACUAUUCAGCUCUAUUGUGUGUGUUAACUUUAAGUUCUUGGCACGCACAAGUACCCGUUUGAUAGUACAAGUUG
Molecule: ribosomal RNA, 2190 nt
Filed under: Triticum aestivum (bread wheat)
Lineage: Eukaryota; Viridiplantae; Streptophyta; Magnoliopsida; Poales; Poaceae
Description: partial small subunit ribosomal RNA
Source: RNAcentral